ACAACUUUCAACAACGGAUCUCUUGGYUCUCGCAUCGAUGAAGAACGCAGCGAAAUGCGAUAAGUAAUGUGAAUUGCAGAAUUCAGUGAAUCAUCGAAUCUUUGAACGCACCUUGCGCUCCUUGGUAUUCCGAGGAGCAUGCCUGUUUGAGUGUCAUUAA
This 160-nucleotide ribosomal RNA is filed under the name Xeromphalina kauffmanii. Its description in RNAcentral is "5.8S ribosomal RNA". It matches the Rfam family "5.8S ribosomal RNA". From Rfam's summary of the family: 5.8S ribosomal RNA (5.8S rRNA) is a component of the large subunit of the eukaryotic ribosome. It is transcribed by RNA polymerase I as part of the 45S precursor that also contains 18S and 28S rRNA. Lineage: Eukaryota; Fungi; Basidiomycota; Agaricomycetes; Agaricales; Mycenaceae. The record is from RNAcentral.